This 596-nucleotide long non-coding RNA is filed under the name Cricetulus griseus (Chinese hamster). Its description in RNAcentral is "lncRNA (ENSCGRG00015038810.1)". The record is from RNAcentral. Lineage: Eukaryota; Metazoa; Chordata; Mammalia; Rodentia; Cricetidae.
CUUCCUUUUCUCCAGCUUUAUAAAGGGAGUGAGUGGUGGACCUUUCCAGUACCUCAAGCCACUGUCUAUCAUUCAAUAUGAAUCUACUGACAAAAAUCAGCCCACUGCUCAUGGUGACUUUAUCUCUUUUCAUCUCCGUGCAGGCUCUACAAUGCUUCAAGUGUGACCGUUCCCCAAUUUCCAUGAAUUGUGCGACAUUGGAACACUACUGUGAGGCAAAAAGUGACCAGAAAUGUCUCCUAAAGACAAUCUUUAGAGGAGAAACUUUGAGUUCUGUGACCCAAAAAUGUUCUGCUUCUUGUUUCAACAGUACCCUCACCAAGGGAAGUUUGAAAGUGCAACUUACAUGUUGCGAUUCCUAUUCUUUUUGUAACAAGUUUUAAAGGCCUGGUUCUUUUUUGGCCUGUUCUAUUCAGAACUGUUCAUUGCAUCACAGCCCUGGAGUGUGUGAUCAAGAUUUCUUCUACUGAACCAUAUCUCCAGCCUCAUACUUUCCUUUCUCUAUAUUAUACAUUAGAUACUGUUCCUAUUUUAUAUGCAUCUAUAUUUUACAUUGGGUACUUUCACAUGCAUGUAUGCCUUAUUAAAUUGAUUUC